UGGGCAGGAUGUUCUUGGUGAUCCCACUUUGAGUCAGGCGCAUCAGGGGGCGCUAGUAUAAAUAGUAGCGGCCAUCUGCGCAUCCCCUAAUCCGCGUACCUGUUGUCAUCUCCUUUCGGUCACCUGACUUCCCCCGGUGUUGCAGAUCUCACCCGCGGAUACCUUCUUGAAGCCUCCAUUGUGGCUGAUGCAGAGGGCCUGACGUGGAGGAGACUGGGGUGCCUUGGUGGUGGGAUCCUUUGAGUAUUACACACCUGCGUUUUUCAGUCGUAUUAGUGUGAGUGUAUGAUAGUGUGCUGCACUUGUGUAUUGGUGAGUUUUCCUUUUUUU
This is a long non-coding RNA of Oreochromis niloticus (Nile tilapia), 330 nucleotides long. RefSeq lists it as uncharacterized. The record is from RefSeq and is a predicted model, not a curated record. The transcript has 3 exons. Lineage: Eukaryota; Metazoa; Chordata; Actinopteri; Cichliformes; Cichlidae.